GUUGGCUACGGUCGUUAAGGUCGAGAAUUGAAGACGACGCGUCGCGAGUUCGAAUCCUCGGCAUGAUAGCU
Bombus huntii is the source of this 71-nucleotide long non-coding RNA. RefSeq lists it as uncharacterized. NCBI's taxonomy places the organism in Eukaryota, Metazoa, Arthropoda, Insecta, Hymenoptera, Apidae. The record is from RefSeq and is a predicted model, not a curated record. The transcript is spliced from 2 exons.